Molecule: ribosomal RNA, 1438 nt
Filed under: uncultured prokaryote
Description: partial 16S ribosomal RNA
Rfam family: Bacterial small subunit ribosomal RNA
Source: RNAcentral
AGCGGCAGGCUUACACAUGCAAGUCGAGGGGUAAGUUCCUACUUGUAGGAAACACGACCGGCGCACGGGUGAGUAACGCGUAUGCAACCUACCUAUAACUGGGGAAUAGCCCGGAGAAAUCCGGAUUAAUACCCCAUAAUGUUUCUGAGACACCUGGUUUAAAAAUUAAAGUUCCGGUGGAUAAGGAUGGGCAUGCGUCCUAUUAGUUAGUUGGUGAGGUAACGGCUCACCAAGACUACGAUAGGUAGGGGGCCUGAGAGGGUGAUCCCCCACACUGGUACUGAGACACGGACCAGACUCCUACGGGAGGCAGCAGUAAGGAAUAUUGCUCAAUGGAGGCAACUCUGAAGCAGCCAUGCCGCGUGCAGGAUGAAUGCCCUACGGGUUGUAAACUGCUUUUAUAUAGGAAGAAACCUCUCUACGUGUAGGGAGCUGACGGUACUAUACGAAUAAGGACCGGCUAACUCCGUGCCAGCAGCCGCGGUAAUACGGAGGGUCCAAGCGUUAUCCGGAUUCAUUGGGUUUAAAGGGUGCGUAGGCGGAUUAUUAAGUCAGUGGUGAAAUCCUGCAGCUUAACUGUAGAACUGCCAUUGAUACUGAUAAUCUUGAGUCUAGUUGAGGCGAGCGGAAUGUGUAAUGUAGCGGUGAAAUGCUUAGAUAUUACACAGAACACCGAUUGCGUAGGCAGCUCGCUAAGCUACAACUGACGCUGAGGCACGAAAGCGUGGGGAGCGAACAGGAUUAGAUACCCUGGUAGUCCACGCUGUAAACGAUGAUCACUCGUUGUUGGCGAUACAUUGUCAGCGACUGAGCAAAAGCAUUAAGUGAUCCACCUGGGGAGUACGGUCGCAAGAUUGAAACUCAAAGGAAUUGACGGGGGCCCGCACAAGCGGAGGAACAUGUGGUUUAAUUCGAUAAUACGCGAGGAACCUUACCUGGGCUUAAAUGUAGAGUGCAUAAACGGGAAACUGUUUUUUCCUUCGGGACUCUUUACAAGGCGCUGCAUGGUUGUCGUCAGCUCGUGCCGUGAGGUGUCGGGUUAAGUCCCAUAACGAGCGCAACCCCUAUCGUUAGUUGCCAGCGAGUCAAGUCGGGGACUCUAAGAAGACUGCCGGCGUAAGCCGCGAGGAAGGCGGGGAUGACGUCAAGUCAGCACGGCCCUUACGUCCAGGGCUACACACGUGUUACAAUGGCCAGUACAAAGGGCAGCUACCGGGCAACCGGAUGCUAAUCUCAAAAGCUGGUCUCAGUUCGGAUUGAAGUCUGCAACUCGACUUCAUGAAGCUGGAAUCGCUAGUAAUCGCGUAUCAGCAACGACGCGGUGAAUACGUUCCCGGGCCUUGUACACACCGCCCGUCAAGCCAUGGGAGUUUGGGGUGCCUGAAGUCCGUAACCGCGAGGAUCGGCCUAGGGGUAAAACCGGUGACUGGGGCUAAGU